RNAcentral lists this microRNA (21 nucleotides) under Schmidtea mediterranea. Its description in RNAcentral is "sme-miR-124d-3p". Its record names the gene sme-miR-124d-3p. The record is from miRBase by way of RNAcentral. Lineage: Eukaryota; Metazoa; Platyhelminthes; Tricladida; Dugesiidae.
UAAGGCACGCGGUAAGUGGGU